RNAcentral lists this ribosomal RNA (352 nucleotides) under Mycoplasma haemofelis. RNAcentral describes it as "bacterial SSU rRNA". It matches the Rfam family "Bacterial small subunit ribosomal RNA", at positions 460 to 811 of the family's 1533-position model. The record is from RNAcentral. Lineage: Bacteria; Bacillati; Mycoplasmatota; Mollicutes; Mycoplasmatales; Mycoplasmataceae.
GGCAUAAUUAUGAUAGUACUUCCAUGAACCUUUGACAGCAAACUAUGUGCCAGCAGCUGCGGUAAUACAUAGGUCGCGAGCAUUAUUCGGAUUUAUUGGGCGUAAAGCAAGCGCAGGCGGAUGUGUAAGUUCUGUGUUAAAUGCAGCUACUCAAUAGUUGUAUGCACCGAAUACUACAUGUCUAGAUUGUGGUAGGGAGUUUCGGAAUUAAGCAUGGAGCGGUGGAAUGUGUAGAUAUGCUUAAGAACACCAGAGGCGAAGGCGGAAACUUAGGCCAUAAAUGACGCUUAGGCUUGAAAGUGUGGGGAGCAAAUGGGAUUAGAUACCCCAGUAGUCCACACCGUAAACGAUG